RNAcentral lists this ribosomal RNA (511 nucleotides) under bacterium enrichment culture clone ALO1_GLFRUDD03FTMQ3. RNAcentral's name for it is "bacterial SSU rRNA". It matches the Rfam family "Bacterial small subunit ribosomal RNA", at positions 9 to 517 of the family's 1533-position model. The record is from RNAcentral.
GAGUUUGAUCCUGGCUCAGAUUGAACGCUGGCGGCAGGCCUAACACAUGCAAGUCGAGCGGAUGACGGGAGCUUGCUCCUUGAUUCAGCGGCGGACGGGUGAGUAAUGCCUAGGAAUCUGCCUGGUAGUGGGGGACAACGUUUCGAAAGGAACGCUAAUACCGCAUACGUCCUACGGGAGAAAGCAGGGGACCUUCGGGCCUUGCGCUAUCAGAUGAGCCUAGGUCGGAUUAGCUAGUUGGUGGGGUAAUGGCUCACCAAGGCGACGAUCCGUAACUGGUCUGAGAGGAUGAUCAGUCACACUGGAACUGAGACACGGUCCAGACUCCUACGGGAGGCAGCAGUGGGGAAUAUUGGACAAUGGGCGAAAGCCUGAUCCAGCCAUGCCGCGUGUGUGAAGAAGGUCUUCGGAUUGUAAAGCACUUUAAGUUGGGAGGAAGGGCAGUAAGUUAAUACCUUGCUGUUUGACGUUACGACAGAAUAAGCACCGGCUAACUCUGUGCCAGCAGCCG